RNAcentral lists this small nuclear RNA (29 nucleotides) under Arabidopsis thaliana (thale cress). Its description in RNAcentral is "snRNA_07412". Lineage: Eukaryota; Viridiplantae; Streptophyta; Magnoliopsida; Brassicales; Brassicaceae. The record is from RNAcentral.
AAGCCCGGGCUUUUGAUACGCUUGUGGAG